AACACUGUUAACCUGCGGUACCUGCGGAAGGAUCAUUACAGAGUUGCAAAACUCCCUAAACCAUUGUGAACGUUACCUAAACCGUUGCUUCGGCGGGCGGCCCGGGUCCUUCCCGGCGCCCCUCGGCCCUCGCGGGCGCCCGCCGGAGGUAAACCAAACUAUUGCAUUUGUAUGGCCUCUCUGAGUCUUCUGUACUGAAUAAGUCAAAACUUUCAACAACGGAUCUCAGAUCGGAAGAGC
This 240-nucleotide unclassified non-coding RNA is filed under the name soil metagenome. RNAcentral describes it as "partial contains 5.8S ribosomal RNA, internal transcribed spacer 2, and large subunit ribosomal RNA". The record is from RNAcentral.